GGGGACUUGUUCUCUAGGUCCAGGAUCUUCCUAAUGCAUCGCCUCAGCCAUGAACAACGCGGAGUUCUUUAAUACCCGUGAGCAGCAGCCCAGGCCCCUUGAAGAGUGCAGACUCCCACCUGGCCUGGGCGUCUGGCUCCGCAGCAGAACACGAAGUUUGCAUUCCCCAAGGGGCGGCCAGGGGGCGGACCAGGGAAAGGUAGUCCUCUGCAUUUUGCCGUGUGCUGGAAUGGUGUAGAGUGACGAUGAGGUGGCGGUAAGGGGUUGAGCGCUCACGCGAACGCCUAAGUGACCAGAACGACUGGUGUGAAGCCGUGAUCUGACUCUGUGGAGCCUGGGACUGGUUUCAGCGAGAGCCUCUGUACUGCUCUGUAGUCUCUGCUAGGACAUGGACGAAAAGGGACGCAGCCGGGAGAGCGACUGCCCCAGGUGGGGGCUGGGGGGACGUAAGGGAAGAAUAAUAAUUAUCUGGCUGUGUUUUUGUUUAAAAAAAAAAAAAAACUGGUGUAAAUCUCCAUAGACUUCCUAUCCUCGCUCCCUUCACCCACCCACGCGCUCCCAAGAUGCAAUAAGCAAAUAAAAAGACUAAUAACGCUGUAAAAAAAAAAAAAAAAAA
RNAcentral lists this long non-coding RNA (616 nucleotides) under Homo sapiens (human). RNAcentral describes it as "uncharacterized LOC100507547, transcript variant 3 (LOC100507547)". Lineage: Eukaryota; Metazoa; Chordata; Mammalia; Primates; Hominidae. The record is from RNAcentral.